Rhinichthys klamathensis goyatoka is the source of this 721-nucleotide long non-coding RNA. RefSeq lists it as uncharacterized. NCBI's taxonomy places the organism in Eukaryota, Metazoa, Chordata, Actinopteri, Cypriniformes, Leuciscidae. The transcript is spliced from 2 exons. The record is from RefSeq and is a predicted model, not a curated record.
AACAUCAUAAGCCAGACUGGGAAUACAGCUGUCGAAAACACUGAGGAAUCCAGAGCAACGAUGCUUGGAAGUCACCUAACAAAAGAAAUCUGAGUUCAUGUGAUGUCUUUUGGAGGAUGGUCUCCCUUCACAUGGAAAGGCGAUGGAGUGUUGGGGUGGAUGGUGUUCAGAGAACAGGGGGUUGUGCGGGGUUACAGUGACUAAAAACCCUAAGGAGAUUUCAGCAACCCAGAGUGGGGGUGGGUCUUAUCUCUCUCUGAUUAGCAGCAUGGAACUCCUCUUCACUCACGGAUUGAGUUUGCCACAUCUAGAUUAGCUUAGCUAUGAAACCCCCAUCACUCAAUAACUAGCACCUCUCUCAUUUGUGAUUCUUAAAAUGAAUGUAUGUGAUGAAUGUGUGUACAUGUUUUGAAGAACAAGAAGCCCACCCCCAUCAUAAGAGCAGAUGGUCAUAUGCAGAAGACGCUACUAAUGUCAAUGGCGACCCAAAUACACCUGUGUUUCUGUUUAUGCUUGUGUGAAUAUAUUUACAUUAAAGUCACAAGUCAAAAAAAACAAAGAUUCCUUGCUAAGCUCGUCUUACCAAUGAUACUGAUUACCUGAUAUUAGCAUUACCUUGGCAACCGUUGCUGGCCAUCAGUGUCAGACAAUUUGUUGAUGCCUAAAUUCCAUGUAAGUUCUGUGUGUUUGGAUAGUUUUAAUAAAGCAACAAGCUACCAAA